This 253-nucleotide ribosomal RNA is filed under the name uncultured bacterium. RNAcentral's name for it is "partial 16S ribosomal RNA". It matches the Rfam family "Bacterial small subunit ribosomal RNA", at positions 524 to 776 of the family's 1533-position model. The record is from RNAcentral.
UACGUAGGGGGCAAGCGUUGUCCGGAUUUAUUGGGCGUAAAGAGCGUGUAGGCGGUUCGGUAGGUCCGUUGUGAAAGCCCCGGGCUCAACCUGGGAAUGGCAGUGGAAACUAGGGGACUGGAAUCUGGCAGAGGGGGGUGGAAUGCCGCGUGUAGCAGUGAAAUGCGUAGAGAUGCGGCGGAACACCGAUGGCGAAGGCAGCCCCCUGGGCUGAGAUUGACGCUCAGGCACGAAAGCGUGGGGAGCAAACAGG